CCAACUACCUUUUUUUCCGUCGCGGUUUGCCUACAGGGCAGCGCACCUGCAUUAAUUAGGCCUAUAUCCGUGAAUUGUCACAAUUUCUCAGAAUCAACCUUGAAAGUAGAAACGGGUGGCCAAAAGCUGUCAUAUUGUUAGAAAUGUGUGCUUUUGGCACAAAAAUAAAUAAAUGAUGUGUCCCAGAUCAUGAAUGAAUAGAUUAAAUAGAUUAAUAGACGUGACUCUCACAUAUUUCCGUGAGACUGGGUUGUUUCGGCUUCAGGGCGGUUGCCGCGCGGUGGUGUGAGAGCAGCUGAAAGUUUCAACACGGGGAAAGCUGAGCGGGCAUCGCUACGCUUCACCUGCUUGUAGAACUAACCGCCAUUCCACGUCGUUCACCCCUCUGCAAUUCGACUACUACAGUAGAUGCUUCGUAGUUGGAUUAUGGAUGCAAGCAGAGAUGACAUGGAGGAAGAGGAGGAGAGUGACGAGUUUCUGCUGCUUGAAGAAUACUGAAUACUGCGCUCGGCAGGAGAAGCUCAGGUUACGUCGUUCUGGCGUUGGCGUAGGCAAACAAAUACAUAGCAUCUGGCUGGCAUUCAAAAGGCACAGGCUUGAAACGAUCAUCAAUUUCAUCAGACUCAGUGCCGAUUGCAGAAGGUGAUCUGACUGUUGAUGACUCUAGUUCAGAGCCCCAACAAGAUUUGGUGGAGAAACUCGUGGUGUUGUUGAAAAAAGAAGGAGACGACAUGAAUCAGAAGAUCCAGCAGAACGAGGAGCUGCAGCAGCUGCUCCAGGGAGCCUUCAGCUACUCCCUGUUUCAGAGGUUGAUGGCCGCACUGCAGGGGGCCCCCCCGGCCUCUGAAGCGAGGCUGCGGAAGGAGCAGAUCGCCUGGGUCUUUGAGGUGACGGACAGGCUGUCGACCAUCGACCAGAUCCCCAAGAGGAGAGCGCUGAGCUUCGGCAGUCGCUUCCUCCGCCAGAACCACUCCGACUGGGUGCAGCAGCACGGAGGCUGGGAAGGAGUGCUUCCGGUUAAAGGUGAACAUGGCCUCACCUGUACGUCAACAGACCUGUCCUGAGAGCAACAACGUUCUCUCUGUUCCUACUCAAUCUUUUUAACAACAUGACCUUUUGUAAUUAUAGAGGCCAAUCUUUUAAAUGACCAUUUGUUAAAUUAUGUGUUCUCAUAAUGUUAUCUAAUUUGUUAAUAAUGUACCCCUAUAUUAUGUGUUUUACGACCUAUUUUUGUAUCCAACAUUAUUGUACACCGAUGUGAUCGGUUGUUUUGUUUUUGUUUCUGUAUAGAAGUGCAUUCUGGGUCAUUGACCGUUAGUUAAGACUUAGCACAUGCCAUGGCUGCUGAUGAUGUACCGAAUAUGAAAACGCAUCACAUUUGUACCUUACAGUUCUGAUUUAACCGUCUCAACAAGAAUAUUUUAGACCUGACUUAGAGGUGCUGUUUGUGUAUGUCAUGCAGAGUUUAUUAGUUUUAGAAAAAUUGAACCAAAAUUGUUUUUCCAUUAAUGUUUUGCAUUCUAUUCAUUUUUUUUAUUUUUUUUUAUUUUUUUUUUCAAUUGUAUUACAAAUAAUAAACAGCAGUGCUUUUUA
This is an RNA transcript of Gadus macrocephalus (Pacific cod), 1593 nucleotides long. It is a transcript of the gene named apoptosis facilitator Bcl-2-like protein 14, with no coding region annotated. The record is from RefSeq and is a predicted model, not a curated record. The transcript is spliced from 7 exons. NCBI's taxonomy places the organism in Eukaryota, Metazoa, Chordata, Actinopteri, Gadiformes, Gadidae.